GUGCUGAGGGGAUAAGAGGACUGAACUGCACUUGAACUGGAAAAAAUGCACCAGAGCAGCUCGACCAGCUGCAUCAAAUCAUGUCUUAAGAAAAUCAUCCACCCUCGCUGAUUCAGACUGACAGAGGCAAGCUGUCAUUUCAGGCAUAAUCGUCACGCCUUCCUCCGCCUCAUGCGUCUCCAGUCACUUGAUCCAGAGCCCAGGACAAGCUCAUCUAAAGCCCACUCCUCUUCACAUCCAGAUCCUCAGCUCCCUCUUCAUCUCAUCACCACCAAUACCACCACCAGCGUCUAGACUAUAUGG
Long non-coding RNA from Epinephelus fuscoguttatus (brown-marbled grouper), 303 nucleotides. RefSeq lists it as uncharacterized. The transcript has 3 exons. Lineage: Eukaryota; Metazoa; Chordata; Actinopteri; Perciformes; Serranidae. The record is from RefSeq and is a predicted model, not a curated record.